This is a long non-coding RNA of Esox lucius (northern pike), 1988 nucleotides long. The record is from Ensembl. Lineage: Eukaryota; Metazoa; Chordata; Actinopteri; Esociformes; Esocidae.
GAGAAAGUGACAGACAGAGUCUCCAAAAUGGCCGAGGGUUCAUUAGAGCUGGAGGGUUCAACAGAGCUGGAUGGGUCACUAGAGCUGUACUUUACAGUCAAAGGUUUGGACACACCAUUUCAUUCAAGGGUGUCUAUUUUAAAUAUUUUCCACAUUGUAGAAUAAUAGUGAAGACAUCAAAGCCAUGAAAUAACACUUAUGCAAAGAGAAAUGCAAAAGAAAUACAAAAUGACAGUCCGUCAUUAUCUUAAGACAUGAAAGUCAGUCAAUAUGGAGUGCAGCCUCAAAAACAAUCAAGUAUUAUCAUGAAACAAGCUCUCAUGAGGACCACCACAAGAAAGGAAGACCCAGAGUUCCCCUGCUGCAGACUAGAGGUUCAUUAGAGUUCCCCUGCUGCAGAGUAGAGGUUCAUUAGAGUUCCCCUGCUGCAGAGUAGAGGUUCAUUAGAGUUCCCCCUGCUGCAGAGUAGAGGUUCAUUAGAGUUCACCUGCUGUAGAGUAGAGGUUCAUUAGAGUUCCCCCUGCUGUAGAGUAGAGGUUCAUUAGAGUUUCCCCUGCUGCAGAGUAGAGGUUCAUUAGAGUUCCCCUGCUGCAGAGUAGAGGUUAAUUAGAGUUCCCCUGCUGCAGAGUAGAGGUUCAUUAGAGUUCCCCUGCUGCAGAGUAGAGGUUCAUUAGAGUUCCCCUGCUGCAGAGUAGAGGUUCAUUAGAGUUCCCCUGCUGCAGAGUAGAGGUUCAUUAGAGUUCCCCCUGCUGCCGAGUAGUGGUUAGAGUUCCCCCUGCUGCAGAGGUUCAUUAGAGUUUCCCCUGCUAUAAUAAUAAUAAUAAUACGCUUUUCAGGGACCCAAAGACGCUCUACAAUAGUAACAUGGAACAGAAAACAAACAGAAACAAAAUAAAUACUAUGAGAAAACAAUGAAGAUUGAGUUUGUGGGAUUUGGCAUGGCCAAGGGUAGGCGAUGUUGAACAGAUGAGUCUGCUGCAGACUAGAGAUUCAUUAGAGUUACCAUCGUCAGAAAUCUGCAAUUAAGUUCACCUCUGAUGGCAACCCAUAUAAAUGCUUCACAGAGUUCAAGUAACAGACACAUUUCAAGAUCAAUUGUUCAGAGGAGACUGUGUGAAUCAAGCCUUCAUGGUAGCAUAAGAAGAGACUUGACUGGACCAAGAAACAUGAGAAAUUGACAUUAGUAGAGUGGCAAUCUGACCUUUUUCCAAAUUUGAGAUUGUUGGUCACUGUGGGGAGUUUUCUCAGCAGCAGGUUCUGGGAGAGUCAAGAUCAAGGGAAAGAUGAAGGCAGAUGCUUGAUGAAAACCAACUCCACUCAGGACUUGGGUGAAGGUUCUCAACUCUAAGCAAAAAGCCAAGAGAAGGUAAACUGGCUUCUGGACAAGGAAAUGGUGGUGUUAGAGACUUGAACCAAUCAAACAGAUAGCUGGAGAGUCCUGAACAUGGCUGUGCAGCAAAGUUCUCCAUCCAACUUAAAACUUGAAAUCUGUUUCUGCCACCAAACCUUUUUACUCCCAAACUCAGUUUCAGGAUAUUUCACAAUUAUCAAUAUAUUUAUAGUGAAGAAAGGCACUAUAAGCCCAUUUCAAUGAUUCAAUCACAUCAGAAUAAAACGAAAUGCAGUGCCGGUAAAUAUGUUUUUAGCCAAAUGGCAAAUGUUGCCGAUUAAUUUAGCUUUCAUCAAAAUACGUAUUUGAUUAAUUUGUAGUGAUCUCCUACAAGCUGCAAAUUAAUUUGCCGAGUAGGUUUUGCUUUUUAAAGGAAAUAUUUUCUGAACAGGGGUGGGCUCAUUUCCAAUAACUAGCAGACAGCGAUGUCUAAAAUGCUGAAAGAGAGUCGUUUGCGAGGAUUGUUGGCGAGCUUAUGGUCCGCAUGCGCCGGCGAUCUGUUGAAGACCCCGCACUAUUUAAUGGUUUAAGUGUCAGCACCGUCUGGGGGGGAUCAAGAAAAACCAUCCUCUGAUCAAACCAGGGAGCAGAACUGGAC